CUCCUCAACUGUCCCUGUCCAUUUCAGAUUAGAGAUUAAUGGGAGAGCAGGGGGGUGAUCUGGGCCGGCAGCCUGUCCCAGCAGUCAUUAUGUGUGCAGCAAGACUGAUGCCUCAUUGAACCUCUCCCAGGGAUCUCCAGGAUUUCUCACCUGCCACAGAGGUCUCCUUCCUAUCUUUUGCUCCUGCUAUUGAAUGAGGACAGAGCAGAAAGCAUGCAGUCAGCCACAGCCUCAGUGUUGGACCUGUCAAGGACUGUCCUGGUCACAGAGGAGAAGAAUAACUUGUAUAACAGCACAGGUCAGUGUAAAAAGAUUGUGCCGCCGGAGUCCGGCUCAUUCCACAUUGUGCACGGAAAUGGCUCUUCAGUGGGGACCGUUAUUAUGUUUCAGUGCUCCUCUUCAUAUCAGCUGGUUGGAGAAGGAUUAACGACCUGUGUCUGGAAAGGAAACAGCACCUUGUGGACAGCGGGCGCGCCUUCCUGUAAACCCUUAUCAAAAUACGAGACAUUUGGAUUUAAAGUGGCCGUUAUUGCCUCCAUCGUGAGCUGUGCCAUCAUUCUGUUGAUGUCAAUGGCUUUUUUGGUGUGCUGCCUUGUAAACUGUGUGAAGAAAAGUGAGAGGAGGCGAUCAGAAAGAGACAAGGUCAUGUGGCAUCAAUUAGAGUGCGAGGAACUGGAAAACAUGCAAGCCGCCUACUUUGCAAUGAAAGGAAGAAAUAACAAUAACAACAAGCAAGGGAGCCGGCCGAGAAUGGACGACUGGAUAAAUAUGGCUUAUGAGAACCAGGGAUUUUGUAGAUGCCAUGACGUUUGGAGCAAUGAUCGCCCAGCGCAUUCUUCUAGAGAAGGGCAUUGUGGGCAUUGUCACAGUAAAGACCACUCGAGCAGACCUCCUGUCCCUGGCUCCAAUGCUGCCAUACAGACUAUUAGUGGAAUGCAUGUUGUUGAAAUCUACGGACAUGAAAAAGUUUCUCAAAGGAGACAUGAACCCCGUGCCCCUGAGUAACGACAUGGAUUGAGAUGGCUGACAUCCUAAGACUGCUAUUUGUUAUAACUAUGUGCCUUAGAAAUGAAUGAACUAUUGACAUUCUAAAAAGAAAAUAUCUCACAAAAUUCCUGGAGGACUUGCCUGAUUUCACAUGAUCCAAGAUGUAGAGGAACUUGGCCCUCACUUCACAGACAUGAGAAGAUCCCAACCCUAGGACACUAUCCUCAACUGCCAUACAAGGGAGCUCAGAAAGCUGAUAAGGAGAGGGAGAUCACUCAGACUCACAGGAGCUUCUCUGCUCUUCAGGCUCAGAAUCUCAGCUAGCUCUGACACCCCCCCAUUUCCUGUGAGCAUUGUUCUGUGUCUCUGUUACUAAGGACGGAUCUUGCCUGACAGCAAGUAAGGCGGAAGUGAGACCCCUAAUGGCCAUGACUUUACAGCUUUUUUUAAGGUGGAUGCAGACAGAUUUUUUAAAUGAAGUAAUUUAGAAAAUUGCUAAUUGCACCAUUCUCUAUUAGACUAAAUUGUGUGAAAGUGCAGUGUCUCAAAAGAGUCGUAUCACUGAAACUCACACAACAGCAAACUCUAAUCCUGUAACGGGAGCAGCGACCUCCUCAUUAAUGGGAUUAUGUUGCUGAGGACAUGACUUCAUAUGACUGGGACAAUGUCAACAUUUUCUCAGAAGGGACAAAUAGAGAAAAAAAAUACUUCCAGUUCUGCAAGUUCAGGAGAGCAUUGGUACGGCUGUGCCCUUUAAUUAUUGCCUGAUUAAAGAGGACCUGUCAGCAAGAUCAACCCUAUUAAACCGGACAUAAUACCUGGUCGGGUUGAUCCUGCUGAGUUAGAUCAUACCAUAUUUAUGUUUGUAUGUGCCGCUGUUGCCAAGUAAUCAUCGCUUUUAAUUGAUAUGCAAAUUAGCUUCCUGGUACACUAGGGGUUCAGAGCACCAGAUCUAUGACCAUGUGCCAGUGAUGUAUCAGCAUCAGCACUAGGGAGAGAUGUAUGAGAGGGGAAUAUACUUAUGUUAUGAUUCUGUUCACAGCUCUGGACUACUCCUGCAUGGGAAGCCAUUGUCUCCAGUUCUGGUUGCACGCUGACAUCAUCGCACAUGCGCAGUAGGUAACAACACUGCUCUGGAAGCUGAAGCAGAUGUUCUGGGUAUGUGCCGAUACUGGGUGCAACAGCACGGGUGCAAGAUUACAGGAUCAGGUGAGAUGCCUGGUUCUGUCAAGCUAGGGGAAUUGGGGAGUGGUAGGAGGAGCAGGGCAUUGAAGGACAUUGAAGAUCUGGUGCUUCGAGGGGCUUGAGCCCACCCCUCGGUGCACCACUAAGCUAAUCUGAAUGUCAAUAAAAAGGGUAAUUACUAGGGAUGAGCGAACUUGAUGUUUAUAAGGAGUCCUGUCCUGCAUAACGGAAACCAGAUGGAUCCGUUAUGCUGCCCAUAGACUUCCGUGAUAACGGAAUCCAUGACGGAAUUCAACCAGAAACCGAACCCAAACUUGAAAAAAGCGAGUUGGUAACAGUGGCACAUACAAACAUAAAAAUUGUAUCAUUUGACUUGUCGGGAUCAAACCUAGCAUACGUCAUGUCUUGUUUUAUGGGGUUGAUCCUACUGACAGGUCCUCUUAAAACUAUGAGUAAAUUAAGGGUUACAACAAACGUGGGGUCCCAUAUACAAAGAUCAAAAUGUCUCCUGCCCAUCCCUCCACAGAUCCUCUUGUAAAGUGUCACUCUAGGCCGGGGAUCGCCAAUCUCCGACACUCCAUCUGUUCUGAAACUACGACUCCCAGAAUCCUCCUUUCACGUUUCAGUGUGCAUUCUGGGAGUUGUAGUUUCGCAGCAGCUGGAGUGCCAAAAGUUGCUGAUCCCUGCUCCAGGCCCUGAAUGUAUGACCAUAUAGUAUGGCAUAGCAGAGGCUUGUAGCACAAUGUUUCAAAUCCUGUUCUGAGGAACAAUAAAGCCUUGUUUCUGGACACGGUUAUACAGCAGGGUCAUUAUCACUAUAUUUGAAAGAAACAUGGCUGAAGCUGAUUUGUGUUUGCAGAUAAACCUGUAAGUCAUUUUCUAUAGAAGGGAACUAACUUCCUAAAUUCUUAAUGAUUAGAGAUGCUGCUAGAGACAUGGCCGGCUAUAUACGGCGUACAGGAACGAAGACUGAACAACCCAAAAAUAACACGUUGGUGCUGGGACCAGUACACCAUCCAUCUUCAAGUCUUCUUGUUUGCAAGCAAUAUACAAAAAGGUUGUGUUUAAAGGGGUUUUCCAAGAUUUUUAAACUGCUGAACUAUCCUCUGGAUAGGUCAUCAGUAUCUGAUCGGUGGGGGUACAACCACCGGGACCCCCGCUGAUGAGCUCCUGUGAGCGCCACGGCUUUCUCUCAGCUCACCAAGCAGAGCGCUGUACUUGGUAUUCACUUCAAUGGGGUUGAGCUGUGCCUAGGCCAUGUUACCAAUGAACUUGUUGUCAGAUGGCCUAGGCAAAGCUGUGACAAGGCCACCUACUCAGACAGCUGAUCGCUGGGGGUCCUGGGUGUAGAAACCACCAUCGAUCAGAUACUGAUGAUAUAUCCAGAGAAUAGUUCAUCAGCUAAAAUAUUUCAGAAAACCGCUUUAAGGAUUACCCGUAGCCAAUAAAACCUCUAUACUAGCAGGGGUUUACUUACAAGAGUAAAUGGUGGUGUGAUUGGUUCCUUCAUUGUAAAUGGCCUUUUCCAAUGUAGCUUUUAUAGUGCAACAUGUAUAAACCAUUGAAUAUAAGCAGAACCACAAUUUUAAAGGGGUUCUCCCAUCAUAGUAAGUGCUUGUGGUCAUGUGACUGCUGGGAUUCCCAUUAAAUUGUUAGGAUGAAGGCGCAGAGAUACUAGAUAAGCGCUGCACAGUGUAUCCCUGCACUUUGUUCUCUGGGACCUAAAGAUGUAGCAAAAUGCAAUAACUUCCUAUGGUGGAAACAGUCCUUUAAUGUCAAGGAUCUUCUGCAUGUUGGUGUAGAAGGAAAUUUGGAAAGGCUUUACUGCUCUGUAGUUCAUCUGAACAAUGCAAUCACAGCAGGGAUCGGAGACUCAUGCAGCGCCCUUCAGACUCUGCAUUAGGUAUAAGGCUAGUUUCACACCAGCAGUAAAUUCUUCCGACAGGCUGUUCUGGCAGAGGGACAGCUUGCCAGAGGACAUUGUAUCCAGCAUAGCCGGAUACUGCCUGACCCCACUGGAGCCAAAUUACUAUAAUUAGACUCAACUGGAAACCGUCCUGUUUACACUAUUAGGCCCCUUUCACACGGGCGAGUUUUCCACGCG
Bufo gargarizans (Asiatic toad) is the source of this 4276-nucleotide RNA transcript. It is a transcript of the gene named sushi domain containing 3, with no coding region annotated. Lineage: Eukaryota; Metazoa; Chordata; Amphibia; Anura; Bufonidae. The transcript is spliced from 7 exons. The record is from RefSeq and is a predicted model, not a curated record.